This 457-nucleotide ribosomal RNA is filed under the name uncultured bacterium. RNAcentral's name for it is "partial 16S ribosomal RNA". It matches the Rfam family "Bacterial small subunit ribosomal RNA", at positions 338 to 795 of the family's 1533-position model. The record is from RNAcentral.
CCUACGGGAGGCAGCAGUGGGGAAUAUUGCACAAUGGGGGAAACCCUGAUGCAGCGACGCCGCGUGAGUGAAGAAGUAUUUCGGUACGUAAAGCUCUAUCAGCAGGGAAGAAAAAAAGCCCUUUUGACUUUGGACGGUACCUGACCAAGAAGCCACGGCUAACUACGUGCCAGCAGCCGCGGUAAUACGUAGGGGGCAAGCGUUAUCCGGAUUUACUGGGUGUAAAGGGAGGGUAGACGGCAGAGCAAGUCUGGAGUGAAAUGCCGGGGCCCAACCCCGGCACUGCUUUGGAAACUGUGCGGCUGGAGUGCAGGAGAGGUAAGCGGAAUUCCUAGUGUAGCGGUGAAAUGCGUAGAUAUUAGGAAGAACACCAGUGGCGAAGGCGGCUUACUGGACUGUAACUGACGUUGAGGCUCGAAAGCGUGGGGAGCAAACAGGAUUAGAUACCCUAGUAGUC